This 252-nucleotide ribosomal RNA is filed under the name Veillonella dispar. RNAcentral's name for it is "partial 16S ribosomal RNA". It matches the Rfam family "Bacterial small subunit ribosomal RNA", at positions 524 to 776 of the family's 1533-position model. Lineage: Bacteria; Bacillati; Bacillota; Negativicutes; Veillonellales; Veillonellaceae. The record is from RNAcentral.
UACGUAGGUGGCAAGCGUUGUCCGGAAUUAUUGGGCGUAAAGCGCGCGCAGGCGGAUUGGUCAGUCUGUCUUAAAAGUUCGGGGCUUAACCUCGUGAUGGGAUGGAAACUGCCAAUCUAGAGUAUCGGAGAGGAAAGUGGAAUUCCUAGUGUAGCGGUGAAAUGCGUAGAUAUUAGGAAGAACACCAGUGGCGAAGGCGACUUUCUGGACGAAAACUGACGCUGAGGCGCGAAAGCCAGGGGAGCGAACGGG